This 226-nucleotide long non-coding RNA is filed under the name Setaria italica (foxtail millet). RNAcentral's name for it is "long non-coding RNA (SITA_LNC006570)". Lineage: Eukaryota; Viridiplantae; Streptophyta; Magnoliopsida; Poales; Poaceae. The record is from RNAcentral.
CAGGGACGACGACGAGAGAUGGAGCAGAUCACGAACGGCGGCUCGCGCCUCGGUUCGUCUCCGACGGCCACCCGGCCGUAAUAAGCGAGCUCCUCCUCAUUCCCGUGGGCUAUGAUACGGUUGCUUGCGAUUGAUCCCCCUGCUCAGGAGGCCCGGCAGGGCAGGUCGCGCCCCGUCGCUGUCGGCGGGAGACCCCGGCGGGGCUGCGGAGAUCUAGAAGACGGCG